Molecule: ribosomal RNA, 645 nt
Filed under: uncultured Acinetobacter sp.
Lineage: Bacteria; Pseudomonadati; Pseudomonadota; Gammaproteobacteria; Moraxellales; Moraxellaceae
Description: bacterial SSU rRNA
Rfam family: Bacterial small subunit ribosomal RNA
Source: RNAcentral
CCUACGGGAGGCAGCAGUGGGGAAUAUUGGACAAUGGGCGCAAGCCUGAUCCAGCCAUGCCGCGUGUGUGAAGAAGGCCUUUUGGUUGUAAAGCACUUUAAGCGAGGAGGAGGCUACCUGGAUUAAUACUCUAGGAUAGUGGACGUUACUCGCAGAAUAAGCACCGGCUAACUCUGUGCCAGCAGCCGCGGUAAUACAGAGGGUGCGAGCGUUAAUCGGAUUUACUGGGCGUAAAGCGUGCGUAGGCGGCUUCUUAAGUCGGAUGUGAAAUCCCUGAGCUUAACUUAGGAAUUGCAUUCGAUACUGGGAAGCUAGAGUAUGGGAGAGGAUGGUAGAAUUCCAGGUGUAGCGGUGAAAUGCGUAGAGAUCUGGAGGAAUACCGAUGGCGAAGGCAGCCAUCUGGCCUAAUACUGACGCUGAGGUACGAAAGCAUGGGGAGCAAACAGGAUUAGAUACCCUGGUAGUCCAUGCCGUAAACGAUGUCUACUAGCCGUUGGGGCCUUUGAGGCUUUAGUGGCGCAGCUAACGCGAUAAGUAGACCGCCUGGGGAGUACGGUCGCAAGACUAAAACUCAAAUGAAUUGACGGGGGCCCGCACAAGCGGUGGAGCAUGUGGUUUAAUUCGAUGCAACGCGAAGAACCUUAC